GCAUGGGGCCUGUGCCAGGACCAGAGGGCCACAUCUCACCCCCAGGCUUCUGGGAACAGGCGAUGGAGAAAAAGAGCACGCUACAGGCGCACAUUCAAUGGCAAACAGGUGCCGGCUUUGGAGUACCCGGGUGGGAAUCUCCGCUCUGUAGCUGAAAGCUGCUGCGUGACUUUGCAAGUUCCUGCACGGCUCCAAGCCUCCAUUUUCUCAUCUAUAAAACGGAGAGAAUAGUACCUGCUCUUUAGGGUUGGCUAAGGAUCAUAGGAGCGAAUGCAUGCAAGGUGCUUGGCACACUGCCUGACUACGGGCGCCUUCCAGCACCAUUCCUGAUAACCCCAUUACACAGAUGAGGCACUGGAGGCUUGGCCAGUCUGUCUCCCCUGGGGCCAACUCAAAUUUUCUUUCGAGCAGAAAUGAUGUUUGGGGCGUAUUUCUUCCCCAGACCCUUUUCUGAAGUACUCAAGAAAUGAAGAUUGCAUUGUGUAUAUCAUUUGUCUUCUUCACUCGCAUUGUAUGAUGAAAAAACUGAGGCACAGAGAAGUUCGACGCUUAUUGGAAGUCACACAGCUGGGAACCGGCAGAGCCAGGUCAAACCCGUGCCAUUGACAUCUGGCUUCCAAACACAAAGUUGGAAACUUCUACCCACAAGUCUUUCAUCCUUUUUUUGUGCCAUGGACCCCUCUGGAAACCUCACAAAACCAAUGGACCACUACUCAGAAUGAUUUAACAUGAAUAAAAUAAGGCACAUGGGCUUUCAAAUAAAACUGAUUACAUUGAAUUA
Molecule: long non-coding RNA, 781 nt
Organism: Suricata suricatta (meerkat)
Lineage: Eukaryota; Metazoa; Chordata; Mammalia; Carnivora; Herpestidae
Exons: 4
Source: RefSeq, a predicted model, not a curated record